CCUACGGGCGGCUGCAGUGGGGAAUAUUGGACAAUGGGGGGAACCCUGAUCCAGCCAUGCCGCGUGUGUGAAGAAGGCCCUCGGGUUGUAAAGCACUUUCAGUGAGGAAGAACGCCUGGUGGUUAAUACCCAUCAGGAAAGACAUCACUCACAGAAGAAGCACCGGCUAACUCCGUGCCAGCAGCCGCGGUAAUACGGAGGGUGCGAGCGUUAAUCGGAAUUACUGGGCGUAAAGCGCGCGUAGGUGGCUUGAUAAGCCGGUUGUGAAAGCCCCGGGCUCAACCUGGGAACGGCAGCCGGAACUGUCAAGCUAGAGUGCAGGAGAGGAAGGUAGAAUUCCCGGUGUAGCGGUGAAAUGCGUAGAGAUCGGGAGGAAUACCAGUGGCGAAGGCGGCCUUCUGGACUGACACUGACACUGAGGUGCGAAAGCGUGGGUAGCAAACAGGAUUAGAUACCCCAGUAGUC
Molecule: ribosomal RNA, 465 nt
Filed under: Vreelandella stevensii
Lineage: Bacteria; Pseudomonadati; Pseudomonadota; Gammaproteobacteria; Oceanospirillales; Halomonadaceae
Description: partial 16S ribosomal RNA
Rfam family: Bacterial small subunit ribosomal RNA
Source: RNAcentral